This is a long non-coding RNA of Bactrocera dorsalis (oriental fruit fly), 2571 nucleotides long. RefSeq lists it as uncharacterized. The transcript is spliced from 2 exons. NCBI's taxonomy places the organism in Eukaryota, Metazoa, Arthropoda, Insecta, Diptera, Tephritidae. The record is from RefSeq and is a predicted model, not a curated record.
UGUACAAUAUAAAAUGCUUUUUUUAAGCAAAUAACUAAAUAAUUACUAAAAAAAUAAAUAUGUAGAAACAAUAUAAUGAAGUAUAAGUGUAUAAAAAGUGCAUAAUAUGAAAUAAAUAAUUACUAGAAAUCGAAAAAUUGCAAGAUAAAAUUUGCAAAAUUUUCAACUUUAAAUGCAAAUAUCUCGAAAACUAUAAGUUUGCGGCAACAAUUAUAUAUUUUCUUAAUCUGGAGCAGCAGCUCUAUCCAACAAUACUACUGAAAUCGUGGGAUGGUAGACUAAAGCCGACCCUUGUUCCGGAGUAAAUCAUUUCAUUUUGAAAUUCCAAGCCAAACUUAGUGUAAAUCAAGUAACAGCUGUCAAAAAUAUAAAAAGUAUUGCCUCAUUGAAAAUAAUUUAUCUUGGUUAGCAUUGCGGUAAGUAAAUUCAAGUUUUGAUUAUACUAUUGUUACGUUUCUGUGUUUUCAUACUUAUAUUAGGAAAAAUAGUAAAAGUAGUGGCAAAAAAAGCGCAAAGAAAUUGUAGUUGAAUUCCUUAGGUAAAUAAUAUUUCAUAAAGAAUGUAUUUGGCUAAGUUGGUAGGACUGCCCUUAAUAACUUUGCCAAACAUGAGCGCGAUCUGUCAACCUGUCUGUCGACUGUUUGUUUACAGCAGCUACUUUAGCUGACACUUAAUCACACGACUUCGGCUGUUGAGUGGUUUAUCCCACUAAUCUUUUAAAUUUAUCAAGAUUUCGCCAUACAAAAAUGACAGUUCCAAUCACUUCACUCCGACGCUGAUUUUGCGCCAUCUACUUGUCAGCAUUGGAAAUCUGUUACAUUAUCACAGCUGAUUUAGACACUACAAAAGGUAAAAAAUGUAAAGAAACAAUUUUUUUUAAAGCAAUGAAUCUAAUUUCACCUGAAAAACGACUUAACAAAUGAACUAAAUGCAUCCACUAUUUCUAUUAUAUGGAAAAUAUUUGAAAAAAGACGGCUUUUAUUUCAAAAUACUAAUGACAAUCUUUUCUUUUGAUAAAUAUUAAGCGAUGUGACUUCAUGAAUGACAAUAACAGCUGUUUUUUGAUCUUGCUAACGAUAGUGAGAACACUGUUUGAUUAUGAAAUGCUUAAAUGUAAUCUAAUCUUUUAAAUUUUCGGUCUGAACAUGGUAUUAGUCGGUACACCUGAGUAGUGUGUUGUGAUUUUUACAAUGGAUAAAUAUUCCAACAAAGAAUUUGUCUUUUUUGUUUAUAACAAAGUUUCUUGUGCGAAAGCAUUGCGAAUAUUGGAAAAAGCUUACGCUAAUGAAUAAAUUAAAAAAGUGAAGGAUAUGGUGCUUGAAAAUCGUCAUGCAAAUGUUAAAGAGAUGGCAAGAGACAUCUCUCGCGAGUCCAUUCAAAUGAUUUAGUGGAUAUUUUGGGUAUGAAAUGCGUUCUAGCUCGACUCGUCCCGAUAAAGCUUAAUUUUGUGACCAAUUUAAACCCGUUUUGAAUGCCAUCGAUCAACCACCGUGUUUACCAUAUUUGUCUCCGUGUGAUUUUUUUUGUUUCCCAACCUGAAUUGCCGCUCCGUUUAAUCCGUUUUCAGUCCAUCGAAGUGAUACAACAAAAUUCGCGUAAGGUCAUUCCAAAAAGUGCUUAUGAAAAGUGUUUCGAGGUCUAGAAAAGUUGACAUAAGAAUAUUACAUCUGAUUGACUUUUACAUUUCGACAAGAAGCUUAUCUGCUCAAAUGGGUGUAAGCAGACAGUCAUUACAGUCAAUUAUGCACAAAGAUUUGGACUUAUUCCCACAAAAAAUUCAAAUGGCCAACAAACUGAACGCUGCAGACUUGCCGAUUCGCUUGGAAUUUUGCCAGAAGAUGCUUCAAAUGUGGAAGAGGAUGGAAACAUGUUGAACUGUCUUUUCAUGUCUGACGAAGCCCAUUUCGAUUUAAACGGCAACAUAAACAAACAAAAUUGUCGAAUAUGGAGUGCUUCCAACCCACAGAUACUCCAUUGCAUCCAUUUCGUGUCACAGUGUGGUGUGCAGUUUCAUUACGCUGCAUUGUCGGGCCCUACUUCUUCGAAGAAAACGGGCACACCGUUACGGUUACUGGAGACCGUUACUUGAGCAUGUUGAGAGAGUUUUUCUAUCCAGAAUUAGGCCGAAUGAGAAUUUCUUUCAACUCUGGGUGGUUUCAGCAAGAUGGUGCAGCUCCUCACAUAGCCCAACCUGUUAUGACAGAAUUGCGACGAAAAUUUCCCAAUAAGCUGAUAUCCAGAAACUCCACAUUCCGCUGGCCACCCAGGUCGCCUGACCUUACUGCACCUGACUUUUUCUUGAGGGGUUAUUGCAAACAGGAAGUCUACAAAGCAAAACCAACAAAUUUGAAUGAACUAAGGCAAUCUAUUCGAGAAACAAUUGCGGCUAUUCCUGUCUCAACUCUCCAAGCAGUAAUGAACAACUUUUUGGUAAGAUGCCGCACAUGCAUCAACGAGAAGGCGGGUCAUUUAAAUUCCAUUAUUUUUAAAACAAAUUUAGCUAUAUUUAAUAAAAUUGAAUGAGCUUUAACAUGAAUAAAAGAAAAAUGAAUUCCAUACACUGAAAUAAAA